UACGUAGGGCGCAAGCGUUGUCCGGAAUUAUUGGGCGUAAAGAGCUCGUAGGCGGUCUGUUACGUCCGCUGUGAAAACCCAGGGCUUAACCCUGGGCUUGCAGUGGAUACGGGUAGACUAGAGGCAGGUAGGGGAGAAUGGAAUUCCCGGUGUAGCGGUGGAAUGCGCAGAUAUCAGGAGGAACACCAAUGGCGAAGGCAGAUCUCUGGGCCGUAACUGACGCUGAGGAGCGAAAGCAUGGGGAGCGAACAGG
RNAcentral lists this ribosomal RNA (253 nucleotides) under uncultured bacterium. Its description in RNAcentral is "partial 16S ribosomal RNA". It matches the Rfam family "Bacterial small subunit ribosomal RNA", at positions 524 to 776 of the family's 1533-position model. The record is from RNAcentral.